This is an RNA transcript of Mangifera indica (mango), 2749 nucleotides long. It is a transcript of the gene named cytochrome c-type biogenesis CcmH-like mitochondrial protein, with no coding region annotated. NCBI's taxonomy places the organism in Eukaryota, Viridiplantae, Streptophyta, Magnoliopsida, Sapindales, Anacardiaceae. The record is from RefSeq and is a predicted model, not a curated record. The transcript is spliced from 4 exons.
GAGUACUAAAAACUCACAGUCAGCCUCCACCACGUGAUCCCGCGUGCCCUACAGUGCUUGAAAAAUCACAAAAGCGCCCAGUCUUCUCAACCGCUCCGUUUGAAAAUCGCAAAACCUAAGAUUGAUAUGGCAUGCCUUGUAUUUGAAGGUUGAAUGACGGAAACAAGGGUAUAUCAAAGGCUUACGGAUCACGCUAAGUUCUUGUCUCGUGCAUAGACUCUUCCCACCUCCCUUUUUGUCAUUGCUGCGUUUGAUAUAUGUGUUGUUUUGGACUUGAGGUGAUAUACUCUGACAAUGGCAAGCAAAGAUGAUGAGUUAAAAAAGAAACAGAUAGUGGAAGCAAGGGCUAGAAACAUUAGUCGCAAUGUAUGGUGCACCGAUUGUGGAAGUCAAUCCAUCGAAGAUUCACAAGCAGAUAUUGCAAUUCUCCUCAGGAAAGUAAUGCUUUUGCUUUGAAAUGAAUAUGGAUACUAGCAGGUUUUUUCAUUUACAUCGUAUCUGUCUAGUCAAUAAAGUUAUACCAACUAAUGAUUUCAUCUAACUGAUUGAAUUUAAAAAGGAAUUAAUCUUGAUUUUGUGGUCAUACUUUUUACUUUUGCUAUAUCAAAGACGAGUCAUCACAUUCUGUCAUCUUUUGCUUCACCAUUUUAGUUAUGCUCUUUUAAUUCUCGUCAAUAACUUUGAUUUACACCAGUGCAUUAAUUACAUUUACAACAAUUCUGCCGUUAAUUCGCGAUGAGAUCCAAGUUGGGAAAACUGAUAAAGAGGUCUAUAAAAAGCUUGAGGAUGAUUAUGGGGAGACAGUGCUUUAUACCCCAAAGUUUGAUCUACAGACAGCCGCCUUGUGGCUAUCACCUGUCAGUUAAGAGUUAAAAGAACCAUCUAAAAAUUAUGAACUUUCUCUCUGAAAUUUUACUUCUUUAUAAGUAUUGGGUUGCGACAGCUUUUAGUUGCAGGUGCUGCUGCAGGAAUUUGGGCUUACAACAAGCACAAGCAAAAGACUAACAUGCGCAUUAUGGCUUUGAAUCUUGUUAGAGGUGUUCCAUUGACCGCAAAAGAAAAGGAAACCAUGCUAGACCUCCUUACACCUCCUCCUCCAGAAGGAGCUUCUUCUUCCUCCUGGUGGAGUAGGUUGCGUCGGCAUGAUGUGUAAUUCUGCCACUUGUCUUACCUCUUGACUCAUAUAUUAUGAUUUGACAUUUACCAAUGAAGAAUUUGAUAGGCAUCAAAUUUCAAGUAUUUCUCCCUUAUAAUAAGCUUAUUGCAUGUCAAAUUCUACAUAAUCUGAUUUCAACUUCCCUUGUCAUCAAGCUGAAUCUUUGAUUAUUUUAUUUUAUAUUGUGGUUGGUUAAAUCGAGUACAGGGCUUCUUUGCAUGUUCACAGUUUUUGGACUGUUUAUUGCCAAGACCAACCAAGGAUGUAUUCCUUUGAGAAUCAUUUGAUUCUUUGAAUCAGUAUUUUUUUUUUUUAAACCCUCAUUUAGUUCUAAACUAACUGUGAGAUUGAUUUUCCCACAUAAUGUUCACUUAGAUAAGACCAGAGCCUUGCCUAAAAUGAUAUGUCUGAGUGGACAAUAGAACUACUGUAUAUCUCUUUGGUGAAGAACUAAUAGAGCAGAAAUACAUUUAAAUGAAUGCUUCAAGUACUUGUUAGAGUUGUAUACAAUAUGUCUCAAUAUUAUUUUACUUAAUACUUCACUAAAUGAGUAAUUGGAUCCCUUCAUUAAGUCGCCUUUUCCGAAAUUUCCCAUGAAAAUUCACAUCCACUAACGAAUUUAAAAUUUUAGGGUAAGAAUUGAGAGUAUUUACUUUAAUCAAGGGAAAUUGCUCCUUAGACAAAUGAUUUGUCAUCUAACGGCCUUGCUUAAUUCCCAAAUAACCUUUCAUUUAUAUCGGGCUAUCAGAUCAGAUCCGCCUCGCCUCGCAACCAAAGUCACUAGUCAUCUUCCAAUUCAAUUGCACGAUUUUUCUCAUCCCUAAUUCUAUUUGGUUAUCGGAAGCUGGGGGAGAUUUUCUAUUUCUAAAACUAGCAAGAAAACUGAAGCGACAAUCAACAGAGAAACAUGACCGACAAGAGCGCUCUCGAGACGACAAUCAAAUGGAUACAAGCACUAUCCAAAGGCGUGAUGGGUCGGAAAGUGGAGAGCUCAACUCUUGAAGCCAUUGAGUUGGUAGAAGCUCGUAACGGCUUUGUUCGUUGAUAAAGAUGGUCAUUGGCAUACCGGAGCAACGGCAACGUUAAUCGAAAGUCUGGAGGCUGCUGCUGCCUACUCUUUUUCUGGCAACGUCAAGGCCUCUCUUGAUUUCAACCUUUCAUUUUAUUCCACGGUUAACAUAUUGGAAGAAGUUGAUAUUUAGGCAAAGGUUGUGGGGAACAGGGGAAAGCUUACAGCGGCAGAGGUGGAGGUCAAAAGAAAAGACAGUGGACAACUGAUUGCUUUGGGCAAACCAUGGACAACUUCAACUUCAAGUCAAGGGAGUAAGCUUUGACAUAGAAACACCUAUCUUACCAGUAACUCUAUAUAAUUUAUAUGUUUCUUAGUUGUUCUGAGGAAACUUAGUAAUUGUCCACGACAUAUCAAGGUUUUGACUUCGCAAGAGCUUAGAGGCUUGGUUGGCGUUAAUAAAAUUUGGCAUAUAUCGAUAUCUUGAUUGUUUUAGUUUGUCAUUAAGUUUAGAGAGCUUAAAAUAGGGAACUUGAUCUAUGCUCUUCUUUGUUUCUAGUUGAAAUCUAAGUUCCUUUUGCUUA